Long non-coding RNA from Scophthalmus maximus (turbot), 696 nucleotides. RefSeq lists it as uncharacterized. The transcript has 7 exons. NCBI's taxonomy places the organism in Eukaryota, Metazoa, Chordata, Actinopteri, Pleuronectiformes, Scophthalmidae. The record is from RefSeq and is a predicted model, not a curated record.
ACAGGCAGAAUUCCGGACACCUAAGGCAGACGGCGCUGUGAAGGACCUGGUAUAUAAAUCCUGGGUGGCUUGUUGCUCAGUCUUUCGGGCGGCGCCAUCUCAGCUGUCUGGACGUGAGGAGUCGUCGGGUUUUAAAAUAUCCGUUCAGAUAACAGUGAAGACCACAAAAUGAACCUCCUCGUUGAAUCUGCCAAGGUGAGGACCGACGGUCCGACCGGCUGUUGCUGCACCACGUGGAGAGCCGGAUGAAGAUCACAACGAUGGAUGCAGCAGCAGCUCCUCAGGGUCGUUCCCCUGACUGAAUUUAAUAUUGAGGGAGGAGUGAAGUCUGCAGCCACGUGCUGAUGGUGUUCACACUGGGGUGACCAGAUUGAGACGCUUUGAGAUCGUCCAUGUCUGCACCCUGAUGGAAAUGAGUUGGAGUGACAGGCUGCAGCUGAAUGACUGUGGCAGGUCGAGCUCCUACAGCCAGCCACACAGUUACUGGACCAGGUACUGCGAGUGGGGACUGUAACCAGCUUCAACACUGGUCAAUAUCAAGUCAUCCAGGAUAUGAAGGCAUCCAGAACAGUCGGAUCAUUCAGCUAAAUGAGUGAGCUUCUGAAAACAAGCUCUCAGUAGGGUGUCGCAGGUCCUGUUGAACUGUUGACAUGCAGAUGUCUUUAAUGAAAUUUCCAAUAAAAAUGUCUAAGAGAC